Molecule: small nuclear RNA, 142 nt
Organism: Neomonachus schauinslandi (Hawaiian monk seal)
Lineage: Eukaryota; Metazoa; Chordata; Mammalia; Carnivora; Phocidae
Product: U4 spliceosomal RNA
Exons: 1
Source: RefSeq, a predicted model, not a curated record
AGCUUUGAGCAGUGGCAGUAUCGUAGCCAAUGAGGUUUAUCCGAGGCGCGAUUAUUGCUAAUUGAAAAUAAUGAUGCCAGAAGACAAUGCCAUUUUACUAGAGUAACCUAUGGAAAUUUUUGAACCAAAUAAUGCCAACAUU